Molecule: RNA transcript, 3072 nt
Organism: Corylus avellana
Lineage: Eukaryota; Viridiplantae; Streptophyta; Magnoliopsida; Fagales; Betulaceae
Gene name: protein NRT1/ PTR FAMILY 2.11
Source: RefSeq, a predicted model, not a curated record
UCAGAGUGAGAGAGACAGAGAUAGAGAGAGGACCAGAGGGCACAAUCAGGAGCAGACAAAGAAAAAAAUGUAGGUGUGAAAGGUUGUGAAGGAGUAGAAUUCCGCCUCUCAAUUAUAGCAUAGUUCCUGAUGUACGUACACUUGUAUAGAUUAGUUGCUAUAUAUAACUCAUCUUACAUAGCAGAGAGCAAGAGAGAAAGAGAGAGAGAACAUGGAGAAAAAUGAUAGAGGAACCAUGGAGAACAAUGAGAAAGCUGUUACAACUGAAGAGACAAAGAUUAACUACAGAGGAUGGAAAUCCAUGCCAUUUAUCAUAGGUAAUGAAACUUUUGAGAAACUUGGAGCCAUUGGCACCUUGUCCAACCUCCUGAUCUAUCUUACUGGUGUCUUCAACAUGAAGAGUAUUACAGCUGCACUUAUCAUCAACAUCUUCAAUGGUACCACCAACUUUGCCACUUUGCUUGGCGCUUUCAUUUCUGACACUUACUUUGGCCGCUACAAGACUUUGGGACUUGCAACAAUCGCCUCAUUUAUGGGAUUGCUUGCAAUACAACUAACAGCGGCAAUCAAGAAGCUGCAUCCACCCCACUGUGGAUCAGGACAGAAUGACACUUGCACAGGGCCAACAACAGGGCAAAUGGCAUUUUUGCUGACUGGUUUUGGAAUGCUAAUAGGAGGAGCUGCUGGCAUCCGGCCAUGCAACUUGGCCUUUGGAGCAGACCAGUUCAACCCUGAGACAGAAUCUGGGAAGAAGGGAAUCAAUAGCUUUUUCAAUUGGUACUUCUUCACUUUUACUUUUGCCCAGUUGGUAUCCUUGACCCUCAUUGUGUAUGUGCAGUCCAAUGUGAGCUGGGCUAUAGGUUUAGGAAUCCCAGCAAUUCUGAUGCUCAUCUCAUGUGCACUCUUUUUCAUGGGUUCAAAAAUGUAUGUGAAAGUGAAAGCCACAGGUAGCCCUGUGACUAGUGUGGCACAGGUCAUAGUGGUUGCUACUAAGAAAAGGCAGUUAAAGCUACCAGAACAACCAUGGCUUUCCCUCUUCAAAUAUAUGCCUCCUAGUUCUAUCAACUCCAAGCUUCCUUACUCGGACCAAUUCAGAUUCCUGGAUAAAGCAGCAAUCGUGACUCCCCAAGACCAAAUAAACCCAGAUGGAUCAGCAACUGAUCCAUGGAAACUUUGCUCCAUGCAGCAAGUGGAAGAAGUGAAAUGCUUGCUGAGAGUGAUUCCUAUAUGGGUUGCAGCCAUCUUAUACCAUCUUGUUAUAGUCCAACAGAAUACAUAUGCAGUUUUCCAAGCCGUUCAAUCUAACAGGCAACUAGGAAAUAUCAACUUCAAGAUCCCACCUGCAUCUUACAUUGUCUUCAUGAUGCUGAGCUUGACCAUAUGGAUACCCAUCUACGACAGAAUACUUGUCCCAUUCCUUCGAAGGAUCACCGGAAAAGAAGGCGGCUUCACAAUCCUCCAGAGGAUGGGCAUGGGCAUAUUUAUCUCCAUACUCACAAUGCUGGUAUCUGCCCUGGUGGAAGAGCGUCGAAGGACCAUAGCUCUAACCAGGCCAAAUAUGGGGAUUGCACCAAGAAGAGGUGCCAUUUCCUCCAUGCCAGGUCUAUGGUUGAUUCCUCAACUCAUGCUAGCAGGACUAGUUGAAGCAUUUGCUAGUGUUGCCCAAGUUGAGUUCUACUACAAGCAAUUCCCCGAGAACAUGAGAAGCAUUGGAGGGUCUCUUUUCUUUUGUGGCAUUGGAUUUUCAAGUUAUUUGAGUAGUCUCAUGAUAUCAAUAAUUCAUCGAACAACAGAGGGUGCUGCAAGUGGAAAUUGGUUGCCAGAAGAUCUUAACAAGGGAAGAUUGGAUUACUUCUAUUACACAAUUGCUGCUAUAGAGGUCUUGAACUUCUGCUACUUUCUAGUUUGUGCAAAGUGGUACAAGUACAAAGGGGCUUGCAAGGAUACCCUCCAAGACAACCUAGGAUCAAUACAACUGGAAAAGACUGCUGUCUGAUUAUCAAGUUCGUAGACAAAUGAUGAAGAAAAAGUGCAAGCUCUAUCCUCGCUAGCAUGUUUCCUGCACAGAUUCUUGACCCACCUCCAAAAACUUGCAUGAUGUCUCUCACCUCACUUUUGAAGAACACCAAGAUAUAUCAAGGUUCCUCUCUCUCUCUCUCUCUCUCGACAUAGUGGAAAUGUGUAGAGGUCUUUGAAAAUGUGAAUAUAUAGUGACCUCUAAAAAAACCCUAAAAUUAGCGCAUGAAGUUUUUUAAAUUUCGGCUAUUGGUAUUGUUAACGGGCUUAAUAUACACAUAAUUAAUGCUAAGCAAUGCCUAGGGGCUUUAACCAAUAACCACACACAUAUAUAUAUAAAAGUUCCAAUUAAUGUAAUGGUACGUAUGUCAUCAUAUAUAUAUAUAUAUGCAUGCAUGUAACCUUCUUGAUUUCAUCGUAUGCUUUGAUUUUGCCCCUCUGCGCCCACGAUUGGAGCGCGCGCGGCUACCAUGCGUGGCUGGACAUGAAGAUCGAUGCGCCGGAGAGCAUCGGGGCGGUUAAUGGCGUUCAAUAUGUAGCUUCUAAGCCUGGCAUGGGACUUUCCGUGUACUGCUACCAAAGAAGCAGGGCCAGUGAGAUCGACCUGUGGCCACUUCAGGAUAAAUUUAUCGUCUGAUUGGAAUAUAAACUUAUUGAUUGAUGGGAAGCAUGCUAUGAUGGACGGUGAUCCGAAGAGGAAGGGAAAAUAUUCAUCAUCUUACUUGCGUCGCUUGGAGUUGAUGAAUUCAUUCGGCCGCCGAAGAAUUUUGAAGUACCAGAGGAAGGUGAGCAUUUCUCCAAGCAAUGGGAAGCCCAUAUGCCCCGGCGGGAGAUUGGUCCCGGUAGCCGAGCACCGAGCUUGGAGAGGAGCAACGUACCAAAGCUCAUUCCACCACCAAAGCAGCCACCCCAGCCGCGGCAAACCUCCUAUAAACAAACCCAACCACAAUUUAACCCCUACUGUCAUUUCCAUCCUGAUAUUUGCUAAGCCUCGAUAUCUAGUGUAUUAAUCUCUCUCUCUCUCUCUCUCUCUCUCUCUCUCUAUAUAUAUAUAUA